This 492-nucleotide ribosomal RNA is filed under the name uncultured bacterium. RNAcentral's name for it is "partial 16S ribosomal RNA". It matches the Rfam family "Bacterial small subunit ribosomal RNA", at positions 29 to 507 of the family's 1533-position model. The record is from RNAcentral.
AGUGAACGCUGGCGGUAGGCCUAACACAUGCAAGUCGAAUGACAGCACACUAUGAGCUUGCUCGUAAGUGUGGCGAGUGACGGACGGGUGAGGAAUACGUCGGCAGCUACUUUUUCGUGGGGGAUAACCGAGAGAAACUGACGCUAAUACCGCGUACUACCUACGGGUGGAAUCAGAGAGGCUUCGAACCUUACGCUACUGAAUGAGCCUGGGUCGGAUUAGCUAGUUGGCGAGGUAAAGGCCCACCAAGGCGAAGAUCCGUAGCCGGCCUGAGAGGAUGAUCAGCCACACUGGAACUGAGACACGGCCCAGACUCCUACGGGAGGCAGCAGUGGGGAAUAUUCGACAAUGGGCGCAAGCCUGAUCCAGCAAUACCGCGUGGGUGAAGAAGGUCUUCGGGUUGUAAAGCCCUUUUGUUAGGAAAGAAAAGCAGCAGGUGAAUAUCUCGGUGUUCUGACGGUACCCAAAGAAUAAGCACCGGCUAACUUCGUG